This 497-nucleotide ribosomal RNA is filed under the name uncultured bacterium. RNAcentral's name for it is "partial 16S ribosomal RNA". It matches the Rfam family "Bacterial small subunit ribosomal RNA", at positions 28 to 507 of the family's 1533-position model. The record is from RNAcentral.
GAUGAACGCUGGCGGCGUGCCUAAUACAUGCAAGUCGAGCGAACAGACGAGGAGCUUGCUCCUCUGACGUUAGCGGCGGACGGGUGAGUAACACGUGGAUAACCUACCUAUAAGACUGGGAUAACUUCGGGAAACCGGAGCUAAUACCGGAUAAUAUAUUGAACCGCAUGGUUCAAUAGUGAAAGACGGUUUUGCUGUCACUUAUAGAUGGAUCCGCGCCGCAUUAGCUAGUUGGUAAGGUAACGGCUUACCAAGGCAACGAUGCGUAGCCGACCUGAGCGGGUGAUCGGCCACACUGGAACUGAGACACGGUCCAGACUCCUACGGGAGGCAGCAGUAGGGAAUCUUCCGCAAUGGGCGAAAGCUUGACGGAGCAACGCCGCGUGAGUGAUGAAGGUCUUCGGAUCGUAAAACUCUGUUAUUAGGGAAGAACAAAUGUGUAAGUAACUAUGCACGUCUUGACGGUACCUAAUCAGAAAGCCACGGCUAACUACGUG